AGGAUGAACGCUGGCGGUCUGCUUAACACAUGCAAGUCGAACGGGCGUAGCAAUACGUUAGUGGCGGACGGGUGAGUAACGCGUGAGAAUCUACCUUCAGGACGGAGACAACAGUUGGAAACGACUGCUAACCCCCGAUGUACUGAAAAGGCAAAUAUUUAUAGCCUGAAGAAGAGCUCGCGUCCGAUUAGCUAGUUGGAGAGGUAAAAGCUCACCAAGGCGACGAUCGGUAGCUGGUCUGAGAGGACGAUCAGCCACACUGGGACUGAGACACGGUCCAGACUCCUACGGGAGGCAGCAGUGGGGAAUUUUCCGCAAUGGGCGAAAGCCUGACGGAGCAAGACCGCGUGGGGGAAGAAGGCUCUUGGGGUUGUAAACCCCUUUUCUCUGGGAAGAACGCAAUGACGGUACCAGAGGAAUCAGCAUCGGCUAACUCCGUGCCAGCAGCC
This 449-nucleotide ribosomal RNA is filed under the name uncultured bacterium. RNAcentral's name for it is "SSU rRNA". It matches the Rfam family "Bacterial small subunit ribosomal RNA", at positions 26 to 516 of the family's 1533-position model. The record is from RNAcentral.